UACGUAGGGGGCGAGCGUUGUCCGGAGUUACUGGGCGUAAAGCGCACGCAGGCGGUCUGUUAAGUUUGGAGUGACAGUUGGUGGCUUAACUGCCAAAGUGCUUCGAAAACUGACAGACUUGAGGGCUUCAGAGGGACACGGAAUUCCGGGUGGAGUGGUGAAAUGCAUAGAUAUGACACAGAACACCGAUUGCGAAGGCAGCUGACGAAACUGUAACUGACGCUGAGGCUCGAAAGCGUGGGGAUCAAACAGG
Molecule: ribosomal RNA, 253 nt
Filed under: uncultured bacterium
Lineage: Bacteria
Description: partial 16S ribosomal RNA
Rfam family: Bacterial small subunit ribosomal RNA
Source: RNAcentral